RNAcentral lists this ribosomal RNA (253 nucleotides) under uncultured bacterium. RNAcentral's name for it is "partial 16S ribosomal RNA". It matches the Rfam family "Bacterial small subunit ribosomal RNA", at positions 524 to 776 of the family's 1533-position model. The record is from RNAcentral.
UACAGAGGUCUCAAGCGUUGUUCGGAUUCAUUGGGCGUAAAGGGCGCGUAGGCUGCGGGGCAAGUCGGGUGUGAAAUCUCAGAGCUCAACUCUGAAACUGCACUCGAUACUGCUUUGCUCGAGGACUGGAGAGGAGAUUGGAAUUCACGGUGUAGCAGUGAAAUGCGUAGAUAUCGUGAGGAAGACCAGUGGCGAAGGCGGCUCACUGGACCGGAACUGACGCUGAGGCGCGAAAGCGUGGGGAGCAAACAGG